UUGCUCCUUAGAUUGAUUUUGAUGAUCACAAAACAGUUGAAGGGGUACCAAUAAUUUUCAAUUGAAAAAGACCUAUUGCUCUUCGGGGGCAAAAUCAUAAUUUUACCAAAAUCCUGAUUUGAAAGUAUCAAAUGAUAGAACAAAAGAUUUGUGAUCCAUUGGUGAAAAUUUUAUUGUUUUUGGACUUGUAUUUUGAAAG
RNAcentral lists this long non-coding RNA (199 nucleotides) under Elaeis guineensis (African oil palm). RNAcentral's name for it is "long non-coding RNA (EGUI_LNC014204)". Lineage: Eukaryota; Viridiplantae; Streptophyta; Magnoliopsida; Arecales; Arecaceae. The record is from RNAcentral.